GGGUGGUAAUGCCGGAUGUUCCAGUUGAUCGCAUGGUCUUCUGGGAAAGCUUUCGCGGUAUGGGAUGGGGUCGCGUCCUAUCAGCUUGACGGCGGGGUAACGGCCCACCGUGGCUUCGACGGGUAGCCGGCCUGAGAGGGCGACCGGCCACAUUGGGACUGAGAUACGGCCCAGACUCCUACGGGAGGCAGCAGUGGGGAAUAUUGCACAAUGGGCGCAAGCCUGAUGCAGCGACGCCGCGUGAGGGAUGGAGGCCUUCGGGUUGUAAACCUCUUUUAUCGGGGAGCAAGCGAGAGUGAGUUUACCCGUUGAAUAAGCACCGGCUAACUACGUGCCAGCAGCCGCGGUAAUACGUAGGGUGCAAGCGUUAUCCGGAAUUAUUGGGCGUAAAGGGCUCGUAGGCGGUUCGUCGCGUCCGGUGUGAAAGUCCAUCGCUUAACGGUGGAUCCGCGCCGGGUACGGGCGGGCUUGAGUGCGGUAGGGGAGACUGGAAUUCCCGGUGUAACGGUGGAAUGUGUAGAUAUCGGA
Molecule: ribosomal RNA, 528 nt
Filed under: Bifidobacterium longum subsp. suillum
Lineage: Bacteria; Bacillati; Actinomycetota; Actinomycetes; Bifidobacteriales; Bifidobacteriaceae
Description: bacterial SSU rRNA
Rfam family: Bacterial small subunit ribosomal RNA
Source: RNAcentral